This 915-nucleotide ribosomal RNA is filed under the name uncultured archaeon. RNAcentral's name for it is "bacterial SSU rRNA". It matches the Rfam family "Archaeal small subunit ribosomal RNA", at positions 1 to 922 of the family's 1478-position model. The record is from RNAcentral.
UUCCGGUUGAUCCUGCCGGACCUGACUGCUAUCGGAUUGGUACUAAGCCAUGNUGAGUCGUUGCAGCAAUGCAAGGCAGACGGCUCAGUAACACGUAGUCAACCUAACCUAUGGACGGGAAUAACCUCGGGAAACUGAGAAUAAUACCCGAUAGAUCAUGAUACCUGGAACGGUUUAUGGUUCAAAUGAUUUAUCGCCAUAGGAUGGGACUGCGGUCUAUCAGCUUGUUGGUGAGGUAAUGGCCCACCAAGGCUAUAACAGAUACGGGCUCUGAGAGGAGGGGCCCGGAGAUGGGUACUGAGACACGGACCCAGGUCCUAUGGGGCGCAGCAGGCGAGAAACCUUUGCAAUGUGCGCAAGCACGACAAGGUUAAUCCGAGUGUUUCCUGCUAAAGGAAUCUUUUGUUAGUCGUAAAACCACUAGUGAAUAAGGGGUGGGCAAGUUCUGGUGUCAGCCGCCGCGGUAAAACCAGCACCUCAAGUGGUCAGGAGGAUUAUUGGGCCUAAAGCAUCCGUAGCCGGUUCUGCAAGUUUUCGGUUAAAUCCAUUCGCUCAACGAAUGGGCUGCCGAAAAUACUACAGAUCUAGGGAGUGGGAGAGGUAGACGGUAUUCGGUANGAAGGGGUAAAAUCCUUUGAUCUAUUGAGGACCACCUAUGGCGAAGGCAGUCUACCAGAACACGUUCGACGGUGAGGGAUGAAAGCUGGGGGAGCAAACCGGAUUAGAUACCCGGGUAGUCCCAGCUGUAAACGAUGCAGACUCGGUGAUGCACUGGCUUGUGGCCAGUGCAGUGCCGCAGGGAAGCCGUUAAGUUUGCCGCCUGGGAAGUACGUACGCAAGUAUGAAACUUAAAGGAAUUGGCGGGGGAGCACCACAAGGGGUGAAGCCUGCGGUUCAAUUGGAUUCAACGCCGGG